AACGAACGCUGGCGGCAUGCCUAACACAUGCAAGUCGAACGAGACCUUCGGGUCUAGUGGCGCACGGGUGCGUAACGCGUGGGAACCUGCCUUUAGGUUCGGAAUAACUCAGAGAAAUUUGAGCUAAUACCGGAUAAUGUCUUCGGACCAAAGAUUUAUCGCCUUUAGAUGGGCCCGCGUUGGAUUAGCUAGUUGGUGGGGUAAAGCCUACCAAGGCGACGAUCCAUAGCUGGUCUGAGAGGACGACCAGCCACACUGGGACUGAGACACGGCCCAGACUCCUACGGGAGGCAGCAGUGGGGAAUUUUGGACAAUGGGCGCAAGCCUGAUCCAGCAAUGCCGCGUGCAGGAUGAA
Molecule: ribosomal RNA, 355 nt
Filed under: uncultured bacterium
Lineage: Bacteria
Description: bacterial SSU rRNA
Rfam family: Bacterial small subunit ribosomal RNA
Source: RNAcentral